RNAcentral lists this ribosomal RNA (496 nucleotides) under uncultured bacterium. RNAcentral describes it as "partial 16S ribosomal RNA". It matches the Rfam family "Bacterial small subunit ribosomal RNA", at positions 28 to 507 of the family's 1533-position model. The record is from RNAcentral.
GAUGAACGCUGGCGGCGUGCCUAAUACAUGCAAGUCGAGCGAACAGACGAGGAGCUUGCUCCUCUGACGUUAGCGGCGGACGGGUGAGUAACACGUGGAUAACCUACCUAUAAGACUGGGAUAACUUCGGGAAACCGGAGCUAAUACCGGAUAAUAUAUUGAACCGCAUGGUUCAAUAGUUAAAGACGGUUUUGCUGUCACUUAUAGAUGGAUCCGCGCCGCAUUAGCUAGUUGGUAAGGUAACGGCUUACCAAGGCACGAUGCGUAGCCGACCUGAGAGGGUGAUCGGCCACACUGGAACUGAGACACGGUCCAGACUCCUACGGGAGGCAGCAGUAGGGAAUCUUCCGCAAUGGGCGAAAGCCUGACGGAGCAACGCCGCGUGAGUGAUGAAGGUCUUCGGAUCGUAAAACUCUGUUAUUAGGGAAGAACAAAUGUGUAAGUAACUAUGCACGUCUUGACGGUACCUAAUCAGAAAGCCACGGCUAACUACGUG